RNAcentral lists this ribosomal RNA (253 nucleotides) under uncultured bacterium. RNAcentral's name for it is "partial 16S ribosomal RNA". It matches the Rfam family "Bacterial small subunit ribosomal RNA", at positions 524 to 776 of the family's 1533-position model. The record is from RNAcentral.
UACGGAGGGUGCAAGCGUUAUCCGGAUUUACUGGGUUUAAAGGGUGUGUAGGCGGGCCUUUAAGUCUGGGGUGAAAUCUCCGAGCUCAACUCGGAAACUGCACUGGAUACUAUUGGUCUUGAAUUAUGUUGAGGUUGGCGGAAUAUAACAUGUAGCGGUGAAAUGCAUAGAUAUGUUAUAGAACACCGAUUGCGAAGGCAGCUAACUAAGCAUAUAUUGACGCUGAGGCACGAAAGCGUGGGGAGCAAACAGG